GUUGGUUAUUUUUGGGCUAAGGAAGGGUGAUGAGAUCUCCACUUUAUCUUGUUAUGGGUGUUGUCCUUAAAUUGAUUUGAGAUGAAUAUGCACAACUAAUUUCAAACAAGGAGUUCUAUGUAACUAAAUUAGAUGCAUGAAAUUAAUCAAACUUGAAAGCUUACCUUAUCUCCAGCGAUCACCAAAAGUAAAUCUAAGAUGAUGAAUGUUUCUAAACAAUUAAAUUUCUACUCCUGU
This 237-nucleotide long non-coding RNA is filed under the name Elaeis guineensis (African oil palm). RNAcentral's name for it is "long non-coding RNA (EGUI_LNC031175)". The record is from RNAcentral. Lineage: Eukaryota; Viridiplantae; Streptophyta; Magnoliopsida; Arecales; Arecaceae.